CUGCCUGUGGCCUAAUGGGCAAGGUUAUAGUCUUGAGAACAUGGGGUUGUAGGUUCAAGCCCAGCUAGGAACA
Molecule: transfer RNA, 73 nt
Filed under: Anguilla anguilla (European eel)
Lineage: Eukaryota; Metazoa; Chordata; Actinopteri; Anguilliformes; Anguillidae
Description: tRNA-OTHER
Source: RNAcentral